ACUGGCUGACCCAGCCGAAGAAUGGAGGUUGGGCAAACUUGGACUGCAAAAUUUGGACGAAACAACGACAACAAGCACCGAACGCAGACUACACGGGCUAGCUAUGCGGUAAAACCAAAUUUGCUAACUGAUCAGGAGCCGCUGGCCAUGCAGGCGCCAGGUGCAGAGCGGCUGAGGCAAGUGCAGCGAGGCGAGAGGCCGGAGAUGGGAGGGCCGGAGGGGGAUCCGGCGAGCCGUCGACGCCGACCACCGCCGCCGCCUGCGUACGUGCCAAAUACCAAGUGAGUGAGUGGAGGAUAUCCAUGUCCCUGUGGUCCCUUGCCGUAAGGCCAUCGCGGCCCAGUCAGGAGUCCCCAAAGGCCCACCACUCAACGUCUCCACUCUCCACCAGAAGGCAGAACUAGAAGCUCUCGUCAAGACGUCUUCUUCAUCAACCUCGCUCGCGCUCAGCCGCUCGCCG
RNAcentral lists this long non-coding RNA (460 nucleotides) under Zea mays. RNAcentral describes it as "long non-coding RNA NONZMAT003527". The record is from RNAcentral. Lineage: Eukaryota; Viridiplantae; Streptophyta; Magnoliopsida; Poales; Poaceae.